GAACCACAUGUGGUCUGGUACUGCUAGAUUCAUGAGUCCCCAUCUGUUCAAAAUUCAAGAUGGGAUCUCUGCUCUUAGCAUCAAGACCCUUUUUGAUGAAUGCAAAUGGUGGCUGACAAAAUGUGACUCAGAGGAAAGAUUGACAGUCUACGUCAGUCUCCUGAUUUACAGCACAUUUAACUCUCCUGAGUCAACACGAAGAAAAAGAAACAGGAUAUUAGUAAUGGGAAGAAAGGCCAUGUGAAUCCACAGGGAGAAGGCAGCUGUCUGCAUGCCAGGAGGAGAGCUCCCACCUGAACCCAACCAUAGUGCCACUCUGAUCUUGCACUUCCAGCCUCUUGAGCUGUGAGAAAAUAAAUGUCUGUUGUUUAAGAC
RNAcentral lists this long non-coding RNA (375 nucleotides) under Pongo abelii (Sumatran orangutan). RNAcentral's name for it is "lincRNA". The record is from RNAcentral. Lineage: Eukaryota; Metazoa; Chordata; Mammalia; Primates; Hominidae.